AACAAGUGUAACAGAUCAGAAUAAAGAGAGAAGGCGUUUGUUCUCUGACCACAGAACCUCAGAAACAGAAGAGCAGGCGUGUUCACAGAGACGCUGACUUCCUGUCCUCUGUUCAAACACAAACUGUGGUCACUGUGAGUUCAGACACUUCAGCCUGUCAGGAUGUGGGUGAACAUCUACUGCUGCCUGUUAGCCUGCACUCUGAGCUGUCAUGUCACACCAGGGUAAAGUGAGGUGGAGCAGAGAGAGUGGAGGAAGCAGAGCUGACAUACUUACUGUUGAUGGAGACAGAAACAUAAAACACAUCAAUGAUCCACAGAAACGAUACAGUUCACAGGCUGAUCGAUCGCUGAUCAUCCUCAGAGCUUCUGUCUCAGACUCUGGCAGAUACUUCUGUAAUAGUUACCCAGCUGAGGAGCUGACAGUGAUCCCAUCAGGAACAAUAAGACGCACUGUUGAAGAGAGAGACAGCGUCUCACUGAAAUGUCCUGGUGAUGUUGGAGGAUCAGCUGUUCCAACAUGGAGACGAGACACUGGAGAAAUAAAUUAUGGAAGAAAUCAUUUUUCCCAUAAAGACAAAACAUUAACAAUAAGAGAAGCUGAGCCUGCUGACUCUGGACUGUACUACUGUGAUGGAAAACCAGCUGUUUAUCUGAAUGUGACCAAAGCACAGAGAUCUGACAGAGGUGAGACACAUGAACCCAAAUUAUCAUGCAGGUAUAAAAUAAUUCAAUCAGCAGGCUGAUUCUGCUCUGACCGUCAAACAUGAAGCUACAGUCUGCAGACCGUUAGCUUAGCUUAGCAUAAAGACUGCAAACUGAGGGAAGUGUUAGCCUGACUGAGACCAUCAGCUCCACUUGUGUCCCCAGUGUGGUUGUCACAAGUGAAACAACCACAGGAAGCACACUGACAGGCUGCUGUGGAAGAGGAAAGGUGGAUCUCUGGGUUAUUAUGAUGUUUUUAAUACAAACUGACCCAGAAACAGUGCUGUAUGAAUCUGAAUAUUUAAAGUAACGAUUGAAAAGAGUGAGACUGAAGAAAAACUAGAAGUUUGCUUUCUGUCUCACAGAGUGUUGUACACUCUGACAAAGUUAGGCCAGGUUUAACUCUGGGUGUAUAUGAAACUAGCUGCUAUUAAAGACCACACGCUCUGCACACAAGCGGUUUGAGGUUCUGAGCAAGAUGCCAAUAAACAGCUGAGUACAGUAAUGACAGUCUGCUGUUCCUGUUCAACAACAGCUUUGUAUUGGAGAUUAUGUAUCGGAAUUUCAGGAGCAGGACCACGGCUCCAAACAUGCUACUUCCAGUUGUCGUCUAGAUAGGUUCCCCCAGUUCUGCAAGCUGUUCAUUCUCGUUUACGUCCCCCACCCUUCCUCCCUCCUUGUUCUUAAUUUUCUAACUUCUUCAUGUCUAUUUAGUACAUGGGGAUCUGCCAGUAAAUGCAGAUGUAACAGGUGGUCGGUGCAGAGAUAAGAUAAGAUAACCUUUAUUAGUCCCACACGUGGGAUGUAGGCCAAGAUUAACUCUGGGCUGAUAUAAAACUCGUUGCUGUCAGAGAAGCCGAGUGCAACACGCUCUGCAUGCAAGUGGUUUGAGGUUUUAAGAAAGAUGCCAGGACACAGCUCAGUAUGAUAAUAGCAGUCUGCUGCUCCUGUCCAACAACAGCUUUGUGACGCACUGACAGUAAAGACUCCAACAGUUCACUGGUGACCAAUCAAAUUUUUACUUCAAGAUUCAAAGUUAGAAAUGAUGACAAUGGAAUUAUAUUUAUUAUAGAAAGAAGGGCGCUG
This 1790-nucleotide long non-coding RNA is filed under the name Oreochromis niloticus (Nile tilapia). RNAcentral describes it as "lncRNA (ENSONIG00000032977.1)". Lineage: Eukaryota; Metazoa; Chordata; Actinopteri; Cichliformes; Cichlidae. The record is from RNAcentral.